CUGGCGGCGUGCUUAACACAUGCAAGUCGAACGCGAAAGGGACUUCGGGUCCUGAGUAAAGUGGCGGCACGGGUGAGUAACGCGUAGAUAACCUGUCUUCAUGUCUGGAAUAAUACGCCGAAAGGGGUACUAAUACCGGAUAUUCUUGCUUUUCAUAAGUUAUGCAAGCAAAGGUGGCCUCUGCAUAUGCUACUGCAUGAAGAGGGGUCUGCGUACCAUUAGCUAGUAGGUGGGGUAAUGGCCUACCUAGGCGACGAUGGUUAGCGGGUCUGAGAGGAUGAUCCGCCACACUGGCACUGGAACACGGGCCAGACUCCUACGGGAGGCAGCAGUGAGGAAUAUUGCGCAAUGGGGGAAACCCUGACGCAGCGACGCCGCGUGAGUGAGGAAGGCCUUCGGGUCGUAAAGCUCUGUCAAGAGGAAAGAAGUGUACAAUGGCUAAUACCUGUUGUAUUUGACGGUACCUCUAAAGGAAGCACCGGCUAACUCCGUGCCAGCCGCCGC
Molecule: ribosomal RNA, 504 nt
Filed under: uncultured bacterium
Lineage: Bacteria
Description: bacterial SSU rRNA
Rfam family: Bacterial small subunit ribosomal RNA
Source: RNAcentral